AAAACUGGACAGAAGUAGUUUUUAAGGCCAGCCUCUGAGGUGUAUUCUGACCCCAAGAGGACCCUUCUUAGCUGUCUCUUUCCCUGGGGUUCUCUAAGGUCCUGCAACUGCUUUGAUGAGAUCCAGGUGUAGUUCUUAACUAGUUUGGCAACUUUUACCUCCUUCAUCUUGGCAUCCUACGCCACAAGUAAGAAGUCUAGGCCAUGUAGAGGAUGACAGCUGCAAGACAUACGAGUUAAAAAGCCUCAUGGGACCUCCAGCCCAGUCAAUCUUUCAGAUGAAUCCAGUCCCAGCUGCAACCCCUGAAAUGAUAUCAAGGAUCCCAAGCAUGAACCACCAAGCUAAGUCUGGUCAACCCACAGAACUAUGAAAUACAGUAAUAAAUUGAUGUUUUGAAGUGCUAAGUUUUGGAGCGGUUUGUUAUACAGCAAUAGAAAACUGGAACAGCUAUAUAUUUUGUUAGUUUUUAGUGGUUACCCAGGAGAUUACAACAUGUAUUCUUGACUUAUUAGAAUCUAUAUUAAAUAUAGUUUCACAAUAAUGC
This 544-nucleotide long non-coding RNA is filed under the name Homo sapiens (human). RNAcentral describes it as "novel transcript". Lineage: Eukaryota; Metazoa; Chordata; Mammalia; Primates; Hominidae. The record is from RNAcentral.